RNAcentral lists this ribosomal RNA (497 nucleotides) under uncultured bacterium. RNAcentral's name for it is "partial 16S ribosomal RNA". It matches the Rfam family "Bacterial small subunit ribosomal RNA", at positions 28 to 507 of the family's 1533-position model. The record is from RNAcentral.
GAUGAACGCUGGCGGCGUGCCUAACACAUGCAAGUCGAGCGAACAGACGAGGAGCUUGCUCCUCUGACGUUAGCGGCGGACGGGUGAGUAACACGUGUAUAACCCACCUAUAUUACUGGGAUAACUUCGGGAAACCGGAGCUAAUACCGGAUAAUAUAUUGAACCGCAUGGUUCAAUAGUGAAAGACGGCUUUGCUGUCACUUAUAGAUGGAUCCGCGCCGCAUUAGCUAGUUGGUAAGGUAACGGCUUACCAAGGCGACGAUGCGUAGCCGACCGGAGAGGGGGAUCGGCCACACUGGAACGGAGACACGGACCAGACUCCUACGGGAGGCAGCAGUAGGGAAUCUUCCGCAAUGGGCGAAAGCCUGACGGAGCAACGCCGCGUGAGUGAUGAAGGUCUUCGGAGCGUAAAACUCUGUUAUUAGGGAAGAACAAAUGUGUAAGUAACUAUGCACGUCUUGACGGUACCUAAUCAGAAAGCCACGGCUAACUACGUG